This 260-nucleotide ribosomal RNA is filed under the name uncultured prokaryote. RNAcentral's name for it is "partial 16S ribosomal RNA". It matches the Rfam family "Bacterial small subunit ribosomal RNA", at positions 524 to 784 of the family's 1533-position model. The record is from RNAcentral.
UACGUAGGUGGCAAGCGUUGUCCGGAUUUAUUGGGCGUAAAGCGAGCGCAGGUGGUUUCUUAAGUCUGAUGUGAAAGCCACGGCUCAACCGUGGAAGGUCAUUGGAAACUGGGGAACUUGAAUGCAGAAGAGGAGACUGGAAUUCCUGGUGUAGCGGUGAAAUGCGCAGAUAUCAGGAGGAACACCGGUGGCGAAGGCGGGUCUCUGGGCAGUAACUGACGCUGAGGAGCGAAAGCAUGGGUAGCAAACAGGAUUAGAUA